Molecule: transfer-messenger RNA, 129 nt
Filed under: SAR324 cluster bacterium
Lineage: Bacteria; Deltaproteobacteria
Description: partial transfer-messenger RNA
Rfam family: transfer-messenger RNA
About the family: Bacterial tmRNA, also known as 10Sa RNA or SsrA, is named for its dual tRNA and mRNA-like properties. Its role is to liberate the mRNA from a stalled ribosome.
Source: RNAcentral
AGGAGGUGUUUCAGUUUGAGGAGGUUGGUCGCCGACAUAACUGAAGAAAACGGAAAAUUCCAACUAAACUUGUAGAUGCCCAAAUGGAAACUUAGUAAGACGCGGGUUCGACUCCCGCCACCUCCACCA